UACGUAGGGUGCUAGCGUUGUCCGGAUUUAUUGGGCGUAAAGGGCUCGUAGGCGGCGUGUCGCGUCGGGAGUGAAAGCCCGCUUCUUAACGGCGGGUUGGCUUCCGGUACGGGCAUCGCUGGAGUGCGGCAGGGGAGACUGGAAUUCCUGGUGUAGCGGUGGAAUGCGCAGAUAUCAGGAGGAACACCGGUGGCGAAGGCGGGUCUCUGUGCCGUUACUGACGCUGAGGAGCGAAAGCGUGGGGAGCGAACAGG
Molecule: ribosomal RNA, 254 nt
Filed under: uncultured bacterium
Lineage: Bacteria
Description: partial 16S ribosomal RNA
Rfam family: Bacterial small subunit ribosomal RNA
Source: RNAcentral